GGUUUGAUUCUGGCUCAGAUUGAACGCUGGUGAUGCUUACACAUGCAAGUCGAACGGCAGCACGGACUUCGGUCUGGUGGCGAGUGGCGAACGGGUGAGUAAUGUAUCGGAACGUGCCUAGUAGCGGGGAUAACUACGCGAAAGCGUAGCUAAUACCGCAUACGCCCUUCGGGGGAAAGCGGGGGACUUUCGCCUCGCACUAUUAGAGCGGCCGAUAUCGGAUUAGCUAGUUGGUGGGGUAACGGCUCACCAAGGCGACGAUCCGUAGCUGGUUUGAGAGGACGACCAGCCACACUGGGACUGAGACACGGCCCAGACUCCCUACGGGAGGCAGCAGUGGGGAAUUUUGGACAAUGGGGAAACUCCUGAUCCAGCCAUCCCGCGUGCGAUGAAGGCCUUCGGGUUGUAAAGCACUUUGGCAGGAAAGAAACGGCACGGGAUAAUACCCCGUGCAACUGACGGUACCUGCAGAAUAAGCACUGGCUAACUACGUGCCAGCAGCCGCGGUAAUACGUAGGGUGCAAGCGUUAAUCGGAAUUACUGGGCGUAAAGCGUGCGCAGGCGGUUCGGAAAGAAAGAUGUGAAAUCCCAGAGCUUAACUUUGGAACUGCAUUUUUAACUACCGAGCUUGAGUGCGUCAGAGGGAGGUGGAAUUCCCGCGUGUAGCAGUGAAAUGCGUAGAUAUGGAGGAACACCGAUGGCGAAGGCAGCCUCCUGGGAUAACACUGACGCUCAUGCACGAAAGCGUGGGGAGCAAACAGGAUUAGGAUACUCCUGGUAGUCCACGCCCUAAACGAUGUCAACUAGCUGUUGGGGCCUUCGCCUGGUAGCGCAGCUAACGCGUGAAGUUGACCGCCUGGGGAGUACGGUCGCAAGAUUAAAACUCAAAGGAAUUGACGGGGACUCCGCACAAGCGGUGGAUGAUGUGGAUUAAUUCGAUGCAACGCGAAAACCUUACCUACCCUUGACAUGUCUGGAAUCCCGAAGAGAUUUGGGAGUGCUCGCAAGAGAACCGGAACACAGGUGCUGCAUGGCUGUCGUCAGCUCGUGUCGUGAGAUGCUGGGUUAAGUCCCGCAACGAGCGACCCUUGUCAUUAGUUGCUACGAAAGGGCACUCUAAUGAGACUGCCGGUGACAAACCGGAGGAAGGUGGGGAUGACGUCAAGUCCUCGUGGCCCUUAUGGGUAGGGCUUCACACGUCAUACAAUGGUCGGGACAGAGGGUCGCCAACCCCGCGAGGGGAGCCAAUCCCAGAAACCCGAUCGUAGUCCGGAUCGCAGUCUGCAACUCGACUGCGUGAAGUCGGAAUCGCCAGUAAUCGCGGAUCAGCAUGUCGCGGUGAAUACGUCCCCGGGUCUUGUACACACCGCCCGUCACACCAUGGGCGUGGACUAAACAGGCUGAAGUUACUUCCAACGUAAGAUGGGCGAUUAUCACGCAACAGACUUCCACGAUAUACUGGGUAAAGUCGUAUAGCGUAA
RNAcentral lists this ribosomal RNA (1481 nucleotides) under uncultured Bordetella sp. RNAcentral describes it as "partial 16S-23S ribosomal RNA intergenic spacer". It matches the Rfam family "Bacterial small subunit ribosomal RNA". The record is from RNAcentral. Lineage: Bacteria; Pseudomonadati; Pseudomonadota; Betaproteobacteria; Burkholderiales; Alcaligenaceae.